AUGUGUGGUUUACUAUGUGGGGGCGAAGAGCUACUGGAAAUUUGUCUCUCUCGUUUUCUCUUUAGAUGUUUAGCCUUCCUCUGUUUUUGUGCUCUGUCUCUCAACAGGUUAUCUGCAUUUAGUCUUUUCCAUCAUUCACUUUAUAUGUGUAUUCUUUCAGACAGUAUUUCUCUGUGUUCUUACUUACAAUGUUUCUCCUCCACUCGCUCUUGUUCUCCAUCUGUCCUAAUACAAUCUCUCCCUCUCGCAACCUCUCUCACCCCUCACCCUGUCACUCACCCCUCACCCUGUCUCUCACCCCUCACCCUGUCACUCACCCCUCAAACUGUCACUCACCCCUCACCCUGUCUCUCACCCUCACCCUGUCUCUCACCCCUCACCCUGUCACCACCCUGUCUCUCACCCUCACCCUGUCACCACCCUGUCUCUCACCCCUCGCCCUGUCUCUCACCCUCAACCCUGUCACUCCCCCCUCACCCUGUCACUCACCCCUCACCCUGUCACUCACCCCUCACCCUGUCUCUCACCCCUCACCCUGUCUCUUUACCCCUCACCCUGUCUCUCACCCCCAACCCUGUCUCUCACCCCUCACCCCUCACCCUGUCUCUCACCCCUCACCCUGUCACUCACCCCUCACCCUGUCUCUCACCCCUCACCCUGUCUCUCACCCCUCACCCUGUCACUCACCCCUCACCCUGUCUCUCACCCCUCACCCUGUCUCUCACCCCUCACCCUGUCUCUCACCCCUCACCCUGUCUCUCACCCCCAACCCCGUCUCUCACCCCUCACCCUGUCUCUCACUCCUCACCGUGUCACCACCCUGUCACUCACCCCUCACCCUGUCUCUCACCCCUCACCCUGUCUCUCACCCCUCACCCUGUCACUCACCCCUCACCCUGUCUCGCCCCUCACCCUGUCGCCACCCUGUCUCUCACCCCUCACCCUGUCGCUCACCCCUCACCCUCUCUCACCCCUCACCCUGUCACUCACCCCCAACCCUGUCACUCACCCCUCACCCUGUCACUCACCCCUCACCCUCUCUCACCCCACACCCUGUCACCACCCUGUCUCUCACCCCUCACCCUGUCUCUCACCCCUCACCCUGUCUCUUACCCCCAACCCUGUCUCUCACCCCUUACCCUGUCUCUCACCCCUCACCCUGUCACUCACCCCUCACCCUGUCUCUCACCCCGCACCCUGUCACUCACCCCUCACCCUGUCACUCACCCCUCACCCUGUCUCUCACCCCUCACCCUGUCUCUCACCCCUCACCCUGUCACUCACCCUUCACCCUGUCUCUCACCCCUCACCUUGUCUCUCACCCCAACCCUGUCUCUCACCCCUCACCCUGUCUCUCACUCCUCACCGUGUCACCACCCUCUCUCACCCCUCACCCUGUCAUUCACCCCUCACCCUGUCUCUCACCCCUCACCCUGUCUCUCAUCCCCAACCCUGUCUCUCACCCCUCACCCUGUCUCUCACUCCUCACCGUGUCACCACCCUCUCUCACCCCUCACCCUGUCACUCACCCCUCACCCUGUCUCUCACCCCUCACGCCUCACCCUGUCUCUCACCCCUCACCCUGUCUCUCACCCCCAACCCUGUCUCUCACCCCUCACCCUGUCACUCACCCCUCACCCUGUCUCUCACCCCUCACCCUGUCUCUCACCCCUCACUCUGUCUCUCACCCCUCACCCUGUCUCUCACCCCUCACCCUGUCACUCACCCCUCACCCUGUCUCUCACCCCUCACCCUGUCUCUCACCCCUCACCCUGUCACUCACCCCUCACCCUGUCUCUCACCCCUCACCCUGUCUCUCACCCCAACCCUGUCUCUCACCCCUCACCCUGUCUCUCACUCCUCACCGUGUCACCACCCUGUCACUCACCCCUCACCCUGUCACUCACCCAUCACCCUGUCUCUCACCCCUCAACCUGUCACUCACCCCUCACCCUGUCACUCACCCCUCAACCUGUCACUCACCCCUCAACCUGUCACUCACCCCUCACCCUGUCACUCACUCCUCACCCUGUCACUCACCCCUCACCCCUCAACCUGUCUUUCACCCCUCAACCUGUCACUCACCCCUAA
Molecule: long non-coding RNA, 2091 nt
Organism: Oncorhynchus mykiss (rainbow trout)
Lineage: Eukaryota; Metazoa; Chordata; Actinopteri; Salmoniformes; Salmonidae
Source: Ensembl